Molecule: ribosomal RNA, 253 nt
Filed under: uncultured bacterium
Lineage: Bacteria
Description: partial 16S ribosomal RNA
Rfam family: Bacterial small subunit ribosomal RNA
Source: RNAcentral
UACGGAGGAUGCAAGCGUUAUCCGGAUUGAUUGGGCGUAAAGCGUCUGUAGGUGGUUACGCUAGUCGGCUGUUAAAGAUCAGGGCUGAACCCUGAGCAAGCAGUCGAAACUGCGUGGCUGGAGCACGGUAGGGGCAGAGGGAAUUCCCGGUGUAGCGGUGAAAUGCGUAGAUAUCGGGAAGAACACCAAAGGCGAAAGCGCUCUGCUGGGCCGAAACUGACACUGGGAGACGAAAGCUAGGGGAGCGAAUGGG